UGGGUAACCUGCCUCAAAGAGGGGAAUAGCCUCCCGAAAGGGAGAUUAAUACCGCAUAAUAUGUUUAAGUCGCAUGACUUUAACAUCAAAGGAUUUUCUUUUAGAAAUUCCACUUUGAGAUGGACCCGCGGCGCAUCAGCUUGUUGGUGGGGUAAUGGCCUACCAAGGCGACGACGGGUAGCUGGUCCGAGAGGAUGACCAGCCACAUUGGGACUGAGAUACGGCCCAGACUCCUACGGGAGCAG
RNAcentral lists this ribosomal RNA (245 nucleotides) under uncultured bacterium. RNAcentral describes it as "partial 16S ribosomal RNA". It matches the Rfam family "Bacterial small subunit ribosomal RNA", at positions 118 to 347 of the family's 1533-position model. The record is from RNAcentral.